This 417-nucleotide ribosomal RNA is filed under the name uncultured bacterium. RNAcentral describes it as "bacterial SSU rRNA". It matches the Rfam family "Bacterial small subunit ribosomal RNA", at positions 29 to 436 of the family's 1533-position model. The record is from RNAcentral.
AACGAACGCUGGCGGCGCGCCUAAUACAUGCAAGUCGAGCGAGAAGACGUAGCAAUACGUUUGUAAAGCGGCGAACGGGUGAGGAAUACAUGGGUAACCUACCCUCGAGUGGGGAAUAACUAGCCGAAAGGUUAGCUAAUACCGCGUACGCUCCUUGGACUUCGGUUCAGGGAGGAAAGCGAUACCGUGGGUAUCGCGCUCUUGGAUGGGCUCAUGUCCUAUCAGCUUGUUGGUGAGGUAACGGCUCACCAAGGCUUCGACGGGUAGCUGGUCUGAGAGGACGAUCAGCCACACUGGCACUGCGACACGGGCCAGACUCCUACGGGAGGCAGCAGUGAGGAAUAUUGCGCAAUGGGCGAAAGCCUGACGCAGCGACGCCGCGUGGGGGAUGAAGGUCUUCGGAUUGUAAACCCCUUU